This 253-nucleotide ribosomal RNA is filed under the name uncultured bacterium. RNAcentral's name for it is "partial 16S ribosomal RNA". It matches the Rfam family "Bacterial small subunit ribosomal RNA", at positions 524 to 776 of the family's 1533-position model. The record is from RNAcentral.
UACGGAAGGGGCUAGCGUUGUUCGGAAUCACUGGGCGUAAAGCGCGCGUAGGCGGCUUGGCAAGUGCGGCGUGAAAGCCCCCGGCUCAACUGGGGAGGGUCACGCGAUACUGUUCGACUCGAAGGCAGGAGAGGGAAGUGGAAUUCCCGGUGUAGUGGUGAAAUGCGUAGAUAUCGGGAGGAACACCAGUGGCGAAGGCGACUUCCUGGCCUGUUCUUGACGCUGAGGCGCGAAAGCUAGGGUAGCAAGCGGG